UCUCCUCUUGUUCUUACUUAUAGAGUAGCUCAUUUUUUACCCCCCUUCCCUUCACCCAGUUCGUUAAAAGCAGAGGGGAAUGUGUUAACAGGGGAUGCGGAUGGAGGGAGGAGCAGAAAGGAGAGAUAAAGAGAGAAUGUGGCUAAGAGCGGGGCACAGCGCCUGCUGUCUUCAUCCCUGCACCGCGAGCGGCAUUCUCUCUCUGCCAGUGAUGAGGACUCUUAAAGAGGACAAAGAAGGAAGAAAGAAGGCCUGAACAAAGAAUAGUGAAAAAGCUCUCUGAGGAAUGAGGAUACCAGGAUUUUUCUGCAUUGAUUUGAGUCCCACUGAUUCUCUCAGACAUGUUUAAUUUUCCUGCUCUUUUCUUCCAUGUCAAUCCACUACUUUUCUGUGCUGGGAGAAGAUAUCAAAGUUCAUGUCAAUGUCGGCAGUUACAAUGUAACAGAUGAAACAAAAUGUACAAAAAAAACCUUCCAACCCAGAGGUUGAUAAACAAUGAAUCUUUGGGAAGAUUCAGCAGCCAUCCGCCACCUGCAAAGAUCAACUGGAGUGCCAGGGUUGAAAGGAAGGGGACUCACACAAUAGAUGCCCCCCUACAACCCUCUCUUUUAUCCUCACCAUCCAACACACAUGGGCACACUGCCAACUCGGAAUCUUAAGAACUCUCAUUCAAAGAACCCCCCUUAAGAAGGGGAUUUGUUUAAAGCCAGGACCCAUUCUCUCUCCCAGUCCUUGUAUUUGUCCCCUUUCAUAUCCCCAUGAGAAGAGCGAUUUUUGCUUGAUUAUUCUCCGACACUGCAACUGGGAUUUCUAAAAUUGCCACUCCAGCAGCGUUUUGUCAGAUUUAUGAAUUUUAUCAGUGAGGGGAUGCCAUUCUCGCUACAGCGUGGACACAGCCAGAGGAGGAGGAAAUGGAGUCAGAAGAGCUGCACAGAAGACAUCGCACUAAUGGAAGAAGAAAAUAAGGAAGAUCCAGAGAUGACUGACCCCUGUUGACUUACGGAAGAUGAACUCAAGGCCACACUGCUCAAAUAUGGAGUAAAAGCUGGAGCCAUUGUAGGUGCAGCCUCCGUCUGUAUCUCUGGGAGGCGGUCGUGAGGAUUCCUCCUAUUCCUCUUCUCAGAGCUUCAGCAUUACUGAGAUGGUAGAGGAGGGAAGUUUGUUUUUGAUCUGGUUUUUAUCUAAUCUUGACAAUCACAUCAACCUAAAUAUCUAAUCCCCACUAAAGUGAUGACCAUUGAGUGAUAUGCUGUAUUUACGUUUUCCUCUGGAAUCACAGAUUGAGAGUCAACGCCCUCUCUCCAGUAGUAGAACACAGAAGCACAAUGGGAGUAAUAUUCUGGUACCUUGGCCAAGGCCCCACCGGGAGCUGGUCACAGAUGUCCUGAUGGAGAUGUUCCUAGAGACAGAACCUAUACACACUGGCAUUGUUGCCACCCGUCGGAGGCCUAUCAAGGGUGCAGCGAGGCGACCAGUCCAGUUUAAAUACCCAGACCUGCCUGCUAGUCCCAUGACCCUACAGAGACAGGCAUUGGAGCGCCGCCUGGUGCCUCUGUGGGCCCAGAUCCUGGUCUUCCUCAUCUUGACUUGCCUCCUCUACCUCAUCUACUCUGCCAUGGAGCACAGCUCGAACCAUCCCUUUGUGGCCUUGCUGGACAACCUCAGUAUGGGGACGGAGACUGAGGGACUGUUGCUCCAGGAUGACCCUUAGGACUCAUCUGUACACCUGCUUUAGGGAGGAGUAACUCCCCUGCUCUAGGUCUGUGUACUGAUUCUCCACCCUUCUCCUAAAGAGAGACAUCCUUUUAUGCAUGGAUUUAAUAAUGGAUAAAACUUAAUCCAGCCAAUGCUUAUACCAAUCCUAAACUUUCAAAUCCAUGAUGUGAAGUAGUGCACACUUCGGGAAAAGGAAGGAUACUCCACAAAUUGGUUUACAGUUGUUGUGAGGAACUUCAUUUGGUCACUGUAAUUCACCUUUACACUUUGGAUGAUGUCACUCUUAACCAAGCAAGGUAGCCAUUAUAACCUUGUUGGUUGGAAAAUGUUCAGGUGAAACUACUGUUCAAAUAUAUACAGUGAUGGUGGAAGUGCAGAAAAUAAAGUGAUUAAGCCUAGUUUAGAGAAAUAAUACCAUUUUUAGAUUUGUAACUUAAAUGGAAGAUUUUUUGUAUUUAAUUAAAAGUAUGUAUCAAUGACAAAUUUAAUGGAGUUACGGUUACAAUUUACACAUUGGUUCGGGUGAGGUUAUCAAAGUCCAGUCUGUGUUAGAGCUCAUCAAAGAUGUGGCCAGGGACAGUAUUCUCUUGUUUUAAAGGUUUGUAAAUGUAUUUUUAUUCAGUACAGUUUUUAGGCACUGAAAUGUCAAACUAAUAAGCAAUAUUAAAAAAUAUAUUUUGUGAAUACUCAUUACCUUUUCGAACAUGACUGUAAUUUUUCAGUUUCUAUUUUGGUUGUGAAAUAGCUACUUUUAAUAAAAAAUGUUAGGGAAUUCA
Salmo salar (Atlantic salmon) is the source of this 2492-nucleotide non-coding RNA. The record is from RefSeq and is a predicted model, not a curated record. NCBI's taxonomy places the organism in Eukaryota, Metazoa, Chordata, Actinopteri, Salmoniformes, Salmonidae.